GCACUGCUUAGGAGUCCUAAAAUAGGACGAAACGGCCGUCCAGUGC
Non-coding RNA from Schistosoma margrebowiei, 46 nucleotides. The record is from Rfam. NCBI's taxonomy places the organism in Eukaryota, Metazoa, Platyhelminthes, Trematoda, Strigeidida, Schistosomatidae.